CUAUGCGCCUUGCCAGCCCGCUCAGGUGUGCCAGCCGCCGCGGUAAUACGGAGGAUGCGAGCGUUAUCCGGAUUUAUUGGGUUUAAAGGGUGCGUAGGCGGGCUGUUAAGUCAGCGGUCAAAUGUCGGGGCUCAACCCCGGCCUGCCGUUGAAACUGGUGGCCUCGAGUGGGCGAGAAGUAUGCGGAAUGCGUGGUGUAGCGGUGAAAUGCAUAGAUAUCACGCAGAACUCCGAUUGCGAAGGCGGCAUACCGGCGCCCUACUGACGCUGAGGCACGAAAGCGUGGGUAUCGAACAGG
RNAcentral lists this ribosomal RNA (298 nucleotides) under uncultured bacterium. RNAcentral's name for it is "partial 16S ribosomal RNA". It matches the Rfam family "Bacterial small subunit ribosomal RNA", at positions 475 to 776 of the family's 1533-position model. The record is from RNAcentral.